UGGGGAAUUUUGGACAAUGGGCGAAAGCCUGAUCCAGCAAUGCCGCGUGUGUGAAGAAGGCCUUCGGGUUGUAAAGCACUUUUGUCCGGAAAGAAAUCCUUGGCUCUAAUACAGUCGGGGGAUGACGGUACCGGAAGAAUAAGCACCGGCUAACUACGUGCCAGCAGCCGCGGUAAUACGUAGGGUGCAAGCGUUAAUCGGAAUUACUGGGCGUAAAGCGUGCGCAGGCGGUUUGCUAAGACCGAUGUGAAAUCCCCGGGCUCAACCUGGGAACUGCAUUGGUGACUGGCAGGCUAGAGUAUGGCAGAGGGGGGUAGAAUUCCACGUGUAGCAGUGAAAUGCGUAGAGAUGUGGAGGAAUACCGAUGGCGAAGGCAGCCCCCUGGGCCAAUACUGACGCUCAUGCACGAAAGCGUGGGGAGCAAACAGGAUUAGAUACCCUGGUAGUCCACGCCCUAAACGAUGUCAACUAGUUGUUGAGGAUUCAUUUUCCUUAGUAACGUAGCUAACGCGUGAAGUUGACCGCCUGGGGAGUACGGUCGCAAGAUUAAAACUUAAAUGAAUUGACGGGGUCAUAGCUGUUUCCU
Molecule: ribosomal RNA, 586 nt
Filed under: uncultured bacterium
Lineage: Bacteria
Description: partial 16S ribosomal RNA
Rfam family: Bacterial small subunit ribosomal RNA
Source: RNAcentral